GCUACUGUAGCUCAGCUGGCAGAGCAGUGCACUCGUAACGCACAGGCCAAGGGUUCGAGCCCCUUCAGUAGCUCCA
Molecule: transfer RNA, 76 nt
Filed under: Peptoniphilus duerdenii
Lineage: Bacteria; Bacillati; Bacillota; Tissierellia; Tissierellales; Peptoniphilaceae
Also listed under: 1 other name
Description: tRNA-Thr
Rfam family: tRNA
About the family: Transfer RNA (tRNA) molecules are approximately 80 nucleotides in length. Their secondary structure includes four short double-helical elements and three loops (D, anti-codon, and T loops).
Source: RNAcentral